UCCAAGUUCAACUAGAAAGGAAUGUAAUUGCAAUUUGUACUCCAUUAUGAAUAACACUAACCGUCGAUACAGUUCAAUCAUUGCCACCUAAUUGAACUGAACAAUUGCAAUCCAACUCAGGUGUGUUUCAAAAUGCAGCGUAAAAGAUGCAUUUAGAUCAAUGGAUUAUUUCUAGCCUGGUGAACCUGUGAUUAGCUCUGUUUUGAGCUUGUAGGUUAUCUUUGCAUUAAGUCGAUGAAACUCAAUCAGGCCUUAAAAGAUUUGAAUUUUAUUUUGUAUUGUGACUUGAAUAAAAGAUAUGAUGUCAUUGAGAAAACCCAAAAGCCACAACUCAGUUUUUCAUUUUUUCUUUUUGUAGUGGCUAUAAGUACAUGCCUUAUCAACUUUUGGCUUGCCACGUCACGAUGGAGGUGUAUUACAGUGCAUAAACACUCAGUGUGCCAGUGGAGAUGAUAGAAGGGAAGUGUGAAGCUAGAAAGAAGCAUGAUCUUCCAUCUCUGGAUGACCCUGCAAUCUUUGAGCAUAUCUUCUUCAGUGAAUACAUGUAUGAUCCUUCCAAAUGUUGGGUGGUGUAGAUAAAAGAGAAAGAUGGCGAUGAUGUUAAGAUGCAAGGACAAGGAAACAAGUGUACAUGGCUAUGGAACUUGACUAGAAAGUAGGUGGUAAGGAAGUUGUCGAAAUAGGAAGAAGACGAUGAUUUUUUGUAUAUUUGUUUAUUAUGUUAAACUUAUAUGUAUUUAUGCGUGAAUGAGUGUGAUGUGGAUAAGAUUGUUUGUGUU
Long non-coding RNA from Magnolia sinica, 779 nucleotides. RefSeq lists it as uncharacterized. NCBI's taxonomy places the organism in Eukaryota, Viridiplantae, Streptophyta, Magnoliopsida, Magnoliales, Magnoliaceae. The record is from RefSeq and is a predicted model, not a curated record. The transcript is spliced from 2 exons.